RNAcentral lists this ribosomal RNA (480 nucleotides) under uncultured bacterium. RNAcentral's name for it is "partial 16S ribosomal RNA". It matches the Rfam family "Bacterial small subunit ribosomal RNA", at positions 28 to 523 of the family's 1533-position model. The record is from RNAcentral.
GACGAACGCUGGCGGCGUGCUUAACACAUGCAAGUCGAACGGAAAGUGCUCUUCGGAGUGACUCGAGUGGCGAACGGGUGAGUAACACGUGGGUGAUCUGCCCUGCACUUUGGGAUAAGCCUGGGAAACUGGGUCUAAUACCGAAUAGGACCAUGGCAUUCAUGUGCUGUGGUGGAAAGCUUUUGCGGUGUGGGAUGGGCCCGCGGCCUAUCAGCUUGUUGGUGGGGUAAUGGCCUACCAAGGCGACGACGGGUAGCCGGCCUGAGAGGGUGACCGGCCACACUGGGACUGAGAUACGGCCCAGACUCCUACGGGAGGCAGCAGUGGGGAAUAUUGCACAAUGGGCGCAAGCCUGAUGCAGCGACGCCGCGUGAGGGAUGACGGCCUUCGGGUUGUAAACCUCUUUCAGUAGGGACGAAGCGCAAGUGACGGUACCUAUAGAAGAAGGACCGGCCAACUACGUGCCAGCAGCCGCCGUAA